This is a non-coding RNA of Paramuricea clavata, 133 nucleotides long. NCBI's taxonomy places the organism in Eukaryota, Metazoa, Cnidaria, Anthozoa, Malacalcyonacea, Plexauridae. The record is from the annotation of a GenBank genome assembly.
AUCUCUUCGCAACCGUCUAAUAUCCUCUAUAUAUUAAACUGAUUUUUGGACUUAGGCCAUGGGAUGAAGCUUGCUUCACCCUGGACACAGGUUGUCUUGGUAUUGCACUACAUCCGAGUACAGCCGCUUCCCA